ACUAUUUUGUCAUGCGAUAUGAACUACUAAGUUGAAGAUCAAGGUGGAAUUCGCUGAUAUUAUUCUGGUGAUAUAUUAUAUUCGGAAGGAUAUCCUUAUUUAAACCAGAGGUACUAUGGAAAAUUUGUUAGU
This is a long non-coding RNA of Hordeum vulgare subsp. vulgare (domesticated barley), 132 nucleotides long. RefSeq lists it as uncharacterized. NCBI's taxonomy places the organism in Eukaryota, Viridiplantae, Streptophyta, Magnoliopsida, Poales, Poaceae. The transcript has 3 exons. The record is from RefSeq and is a predicted model, not a curated record.